This 24-nucleotide non-coding RNA is filed under the name Arabidopsis thaliana (thale cress). The record is from RNAcentral. Lineage: Eukaryota; Viridiplantae; Streptophyta; Magnoliopsida; Brassicales; Brassicaceae.
GGCCUCUCUUGCUUGCUUCUAGCC